GUUAUUUGAGGUGGACAAUUUCGUGGCAUCCACACGCCGAUGGUAACGACAGGGGUAACCCGAGAGAUGCAGGAGAACGCCACGCCUGCCAAAUAAC
This 97-nucleotide non-coding RNA is filed under the name unclassified sequences. Its description in RNAcentral is "skipping-rope RNA". It matches the Rfam family "skipping-rope RNA". Rfam says of the family: Firmicutes, Fusobacteria, AlphaProteobacteria, Spirochaetes. Downstream gene The record is from Rfam by way of RNAcentral.